This 442-nucleotide ribosomal RNA is filed under the name Thermus scotoductus. Its description in RNAcentral is "partial 23S ribosomal RNA". It matches the Rfam family "Bacterial large subunit ribosomal RNA", at positions 908 to 1345 of the family's 2925-position model. Lineage: Bacteria; Thermotogati; Deinococcota; Deinococci; Thermales; Thermaceae. The record is from RNAcentral.
CCCCUGAUAGGGCUAGGGGGCCCACCAGCCUACCAAACCCUGUCAAACUCCGAAGGGUCUAAGGUGGGGCCUGGGAGUGAGGGCGCGAGCGAUAACGUCCGUGUCCAAGCGCGGGAACAACCGAGACCGCCAGCUAAGGUCCCGCAGUCUGGGCUAAGUGGGAAAGGAUGUGGCGUUGCUGAGACAGCCAGGAGGUUGGCUUAGAAGCAGCCAUCCUUUAAAGGGUGCGUAAUAGCUCACUGGUCGAGUGACGCUGCGCCGAAAAUGAUCGGGGCUUAAGCCCAGGGCCGAAGCUGCGGGUCUGAGGGGUGAUCCCUCAGGCGGUGGGGGGGCGUUCCCGAUGCCGAUGAAGGUGGUCGGCGAGGGCGGCUGGAGGUAAGGGAAGUGCGAAUGCCGGCAUGAGUAACGAUAAGGAGGGUGAGAAUCCCUCCCGCCGUAAGCC